GAUGCUGGUAGCUUUUAGUUUUUUUUUAACUUUUGAUCAUUUGUCUUAUUUAAAAAAAUAUAGAAUUAUUAUUUAUUUUGUUUGUGAGUUGCUUUAUUAUCAAAAGCACUUUAAGUAUAACUUAUCAUUUUUUAUACUUGCACAAAAUUUUCAAAUAAGACGAAUGGUCAAACGUUGUAAGAAAAAAGUCAAAGCGACCACUAUU
This 205-nucleotide microRNA precursor is filed under the name Oryza glumipatula. RNAcentral describes it as "MIR812 microRNA precursor family". It matches the Rfam family "MIR812 microRNA precursor family". The record is from Rfam by way of RNAcentral. Lineage: Eukaryota; Viridiplantae; Streptophyta; Magnoliopsida; Poales; Poaceae.